GACGAACGCUGGCGGCGUGCCUAAUACAUGCAAGUAGAACGCUGAAGGAGGAGCUUACUUCUCUGGAUGAGUUGCGAACGGGUGAGUAACGCGUAGGUAACCUGCCUGGUAGCGGGGGAUAACUAUUGGAAACGAUAGCUAAUACCACAUAAGAGUAGAUGUUGCAUGACAUUUACUUAAAAGGUGCAAUUGCACCACUACCAGAUGGACCUGCGUUGUAUUAGCUAGUUGGUGGGGUAACGGCUCACCAAGGCGACGAUACAUAGCCGACCUGAGAGGGUGAUCGGCCACACUGGGACUGAGACACGGCCCAGACUCCUACGGGAGGCAGCAGUAGGGAAUCUUCGGCAAUGGACGGAAGUCUGACCGAGCAACGCCGCGUGAGUGAAGAAGGUUUUCGGAUCGUAAAGCUCUGUUGUAAGAGAAGAACGAGUGUGAGAGUGGAAAGUUCACACUGUGACGGUAUCUUACCAGAAAGGGACGGCUAACUACGUGCCAGCAGCCGCCGUAA
RNAcentral lists this ribosomal RNA (511 nucleotides) under uncultured bacterium. RNAcentral's name for it is "partial 16S ribosomal RNA". It matches the Rfam family "Bacterial small subunit ribosomal RNA", at positions 28 to 523 of the family's 1533-position model. The record is from RNAcentral.